CUUUUGUUUCAAAUAACACUUUUCAGCUGAUCCAGCUCUUUAGUAAUUGAUUUGAUAUUUUAAAAAAAAUUGAAAGUUUCUUUCUUCUUUUGCCCUCUCAGGUUUUUCAGCUAACUUCACUUUUAGGGUCUAAUUUUUGCCUUUUACUGCACGAAGCACUUUAAAAAUCUUCACAGUGGAGAUAAUUGCUUUGUUUCAUGUUCUGCCAACAGUUUCCUGCCUCAUAAAUGACUGUGUUCUUUAUUCACCCCUAAAUAUUUUUACACUUUAGUCAGAAAACAUUAAUAAUGCAGAAAUGUGGGAGGGAGUGCAUGUUUUGUCAUCCUGAGUACAUGCAUGCUUGCAUUUGUCGUUGGUGUCGGGCAGAGGGGGCGCCCUGGCCGCUGCCCCCUGCCCAGCAAGGAGACAGUUUGGCGGCCAUCCAGGACCAAAAGCAGCUAUGAGAGGUCCCAAAGAGUGACCUGGAGACCUGCCUGUCGCUCCGCAUCAGCAUCAAGCGCACUCGGGUGCCAGGGGGUUCAGUGAAGGGUGGCGAUCAGUGUGGCGGCCUGCGAGUCUGUGAGCAGGGAGGAUCCUCAGUUUUUGUUUCUCCUCAUGAUCAAAGCAGUGCAUCAUCAGGAAGCAGAACAUGAAACCGUCUCCAAGCUGAUGCUGCAACACUCAAAUUUGCUGUUGUAUGGAAACACAGCUGACCCUCCUGGCCUUUUUGUGUUCCUGCUAAACCAACCAAUCACCCCAUCUGUCCAUCAAUCCAGCAUCCUUCAACUGCUGACGCUUCUUCUCCUUUAGGUUAGGGGCUGCACCGCAGCUGGAACUGAACGUAAACUCAGAGACUAUAUCCUCUAUAUAAGAGAUCUGAUCAGCAAAGAACCGGUUCUCACCCAUUUCUGCUCUCAUGAACAAUAAAUUCUCUCAUUCAGGUGAUGAAUUUGUUUGAGGAUUUUGCACAGGGACAUUCAUCAGGCGCACUGGGACCACAGGGACCCAUUUUAAAGCCUAAAGGUUUUCCUUUGUUUAUUUAUCUUUAAAAAAAACAAAAAAUGUUCUUGGAGAAUAUUAAUCGGAGGAAAAAACAUGUGAAGUGAUGAAAGCUGUGGCUGACACAAAGGAAUAAUAAAAGCUACUGUAACCCUCUGAAAUGCCUAAUGAUGCAUAUAUGCAUCAAACCACUUUAGCUACAAACUUACCUUCAUUUAGCAUCUGUAUGAAAGCAAAAAUGUAAGUGAAUGUCUUUUUUUAUUGCUGGAAACAAAUUUAAAGGUCAAGAGGUCAAACUUUUUACAUUUGAAAAAAUCCCCGAAUUUGAUUUCUUUAUUCUGUUUCCUUGUAUUGAACCAAAUCUGCUCAGAUUGAUCAUCCAGUAAAACAUUUUCUGCGAGAAUGCACGACAAUUCAUCUUUUAGCUUUUCCAUGCCAAUAUCAGCUUUAUGGAAUCAAAGGGCGGCUGCACUGACAUCAACAGGUUACAGUGAAGAAAAGGAAAAUUAUUUAAACAUUUUUAAGCUUUGGUGAGAGUUUCUCCUCUUCGUGGCGUCAAGAUGAAUUUUCUGUUUUCCAACAAUCAAACCUUGCAUCUUUUAUAGUCCCGCCCAUUUUCUCAUGUUCCCAUUCUGAGCAUUUGCUUUCACACUUCUUUCACACUGUUUUUAUCCUAAACAAAAGAACUUAAAAAAAGAUUUUAAAAAACAAAAAACUGGUCUCCAUUUAAAAUC
Molecule: long non-coding RNA, 1712 nt
Organism: Oryzias sinensis (Chinese medaka)
Lineage: Eukaryota; Metazoa; Chordata; Actinopteri; Beloniformes; Adrianichthyidae
Source: Ensembl